Homo sapiens (human) is the source of this 1572-nucleotide long non-coding RNA. Ensembl annotates it as urothelial cancer associated 1. Its record names the gene UCA1. Lineage: Eukaryota; Metazoa; Chordata; Mammalia; Primates; Hominidae. The record is from Ensembl.
GCUGACUCUCUUUUCAGACUCAGCCCACUUGCACCCAAGUGAAUUAACAGCCUUGUUGCUCACACAAAGCCUGUUUAGGUGGUCUUCUAUACGGACAUGCUUGACACUUGGUGCCAAAAUCUGGGCCAGGGGGACUCCUUCGUGAGACCGGCCCCCUGUCCUGGCCCUCAUUCCGUGAAGAGAUCCACCUGCGACCUCGGGUCCUCAGACCAGCCCAAGGAACAUCUCACCAAUUUCAAAUCGGAUCUCCUCGGCUUAGUGGCUGAAGACUGAUGCUGCCCGAUCGCCUCAGAAGCCCCUUGGACCAUCACAGAUGCCGAGCUUCGGGUAACUCUUACGGUGGAGGAUUCCCAGCCAUAUGAAGACACCCUAGCUGGACGAUCAGUCCUUGUCAAAAGUCUGACCCCUCAAACUCUACAGCCUCAAUGGACCAGACCCUACCCGGUCAUUUAUAGCACACCAACUGCCGUCCAUCUGCAGGACCCUCUCCAUUGGGUUCACCAUUCCAGAAUAAAGCCAUGCCCAUCAGACAGCCAGCUUGAUCUCUCCUCUUCCUCCUGGAAGCCACAAGAUUAGGCCGAGAGCCGAUCAGACAAACAACCUACAACCCUUAAGCUCCUGGCAGCGCCCAGCCAAGGCCAUGCUUCCUUGCAACACUCCUUCCAAAUGGCCAUCCCAGCAUGCUUCCAAGCAGGCUUCAUCCGUUCCUCUGGACCCUCAUCUCUUAAGACCUGCCGCCUAUAAAAAGGAUUAUAUCUUGAGACCCUAUCCUCUAAAAUUUUUUCCACACCCAAAACAAAAAAUCUCUGGGUCAAAAGUCUAAAACGCUUAGGCUGGCAACCAUCAGAUCCUUGCCCAUGGUGUCCUCAAGCCUACUCUCAUGAAAUGGACAACAGUACACGCAUAUGGGGCCAGUUCCACAUAUUUGGCAACCAGACCAGCAUCCAGGACAACACAAAGAUCUGCAAUCAGAACUAUUGAACUUCUCCAUUCAGACCGCCACUCACACCUAUGGGAAAAGGGUGGCCUGCAGGAGCCAAGAAGUCUGGAGCAGCCGAAAAACCACAAAGAAGUGAAACAGCCAGUUCCUGCCUUAACUAAUUAACCCACCUUACGACAUUCCACCAUUAUGACUUGUCCACCAUUAUGACUUGUUCCUGCCCUGCCCCAACUGAUCAAUCAACCCUGUGACAUUCUUCUCCUGGACAAUGAGUCCCAUCAUCUCUCCACCAUGCACCUUGUGACCCCCUCCUCUGCUGAGGAUAACCACCUUUAACUGUAACUUUCCACGCCUACCCAAGCCCUAUAAAGCUGCCCCUCUCCUAUCUCCCUUCACUGACUCUCUUUUCGGACUCAGCCCACUUGCACCCAAGUGAAUUAACAGCCUUGUUGCUCACACAAAGCCUGAUUGGGUGUCUUCUAUACGGACACGCGUGACAGGAACCUCAACCCAAAGGCAGUCUGAUGAGGUGUCUAAGAUAAAAGUAGCGGCACAAAGGCUUUUGUAAACAGAGGCGUUUCAUGUGGUUUUCCUUUCCUUUCCUUAUAUGUGAAAAGGUGACAGAAAAGAAA